UCUGUCAGAUUGAACGCUGGCGGCAGGCCUAACACAUGCAAGUCGAGCGGUAGAGAGAAGCUUGCUUCUCUUGAGAGCGGCGGACGGGUGAGUAAUGCCUAGGAAUCUGCCUGGUAGUGGGGGAUAACGUUCGGAAACGGACGCUAAUACCGCAUACGUCCUACGGGAGAAAGCAGGGGACCUUCGGGCCUUGCGCUAUCAGAUGAGCCUAGGUCGGAUUAGCUAGUUGGUGAGGUAAUGGCUCACCAAGGCGACGAUCCGUAACUGGUCUGAGAGGAUGAUCAGUCACACUGGAACUGAGACACGGUCCAGACUCCUACGGGAGGCAGCAGUGGGGAAUAUUGGACAAUGGGCGAAAGCCUGAUCCAGCCAUGCCGCGUGUGUGAAGAAGGUCUUCGGAUUGUAAAGCACUUUAAGUUGGGAGGAAGGGCAGUAAAUUAAUACUUUGCUGUUUUGACGUUACCGACAGAAUAAGCACCGGCUAACUCUGUGCCAGCAGCCGCGGUAAUACAGAGGGUGCAAGCGUUAAUCGGAAUUACUGGGCGUAAAGCGCGCGUAGGUGGUUCGUUAAGUUGGAUGUGAAAUCCCCGGGCUCAACCUGGGAACUGCAUUCAAAACUGACGAGCUAGAGUAUGGUAGAGGGUGGUGGAAUUUCCUGUGUAGCGGUGAAAUGCGUAGAUAUAGGAAGGAACACCAGUGGCGAAGGCGACCACCUGGACUGAUACUGACACUGAGGUGCGAAAGCGUGGGGAGCAAACAGGAUUAGAUACCCUGGUAGUCCACGCCGUAAACGAUGUCAACUAGCCGUUGGGAGCCUUGAGCUCUUAGUGGCGCAGCUAACGCAUUAAGUGA
Molecule: ribosomal RNA, 852 nt
Filed under: Pseudomonas sp.
Lineage: Bacteria; Pseudomonadati; Pseudomonadota; Gammaproteobacteria; Pseudomonadales; Pseudomonadaceae
Description: bacterial SSU rRNA
Rfam family: Bacterial small subunit ribosomal RNA
Source: RNAcentral